RNAcentral lists this ribosomal RNA (541 nucleotides) under Dasyscyphella longistipitata. RNAcentral describes it as "eukaryotic LSU rRNA". It matches the Rfam family "Eukaryotic large subunit ribosomal RNA", at positions 71 to 626 of the family's 3401-position model. Lineage: Eukaryota; Fungi; Ascomycota; Leotiomycetes; Helotiales; Lachnaceae. The record is from RNAcentral.
GGGAUUACCUCAGUAACGGCGAGUGAAGCGGUAACAGCUCAAAUUUGAAAUCUGGCUCUUUCAGGGUCCGAGUUGUAAUUUGUAGAAGAUGCUUUGGGUGUGGCUCCGGUCUAAGUUCCUUGGAACAGGACGUCAUAGAGGGUGAGAAUCCCGUAUGUGACUGGCAGCUUUCGCCCGUGUAAAGCUCUUUCGACGAGUCGAGUUGUUUGGGAAUGCAGCUCAAAAUGGGUGGUAAAUUUCAUCUAAAGCUAAAUAUUGGCCAGAGACCGAUAGCGCACAAGUAGAGUGAUCGAAAGAUGAAAAGCACUUUGGAAAGAGAGUUAAACAGUACGUGAAAUUGUUGAAAGGGAAGCGCUUGCAACCAGACUCGCAUGCCGUCGAUCAUCCUGGGUUCUCCCUGGUGCACUCGGCGGCGUUCGGGCCAGCAUCGGUUUGGGUGGUGGGAUAAAGGCCUUGGGAAUGUAGCUUCUUUCGGGGAGUGUUAUAGCCCUCGGUGCAAUGCCGCCUACCUGGACCGAGGACCGCGCUUCGGCUAGGAUGC